This 271-nucleotide small nuclear RNA is filed under the name Jaculus jaculus (lesser Egyptian jerboa). RNAcentral describes it as "7SK RNA (ENSJJAG00000002207.1)". It matches the Rfam family "7SK RNA". Rfam says of the family: 7SK was discovered as an abundant small nuclear RNA in the mid-70s but a possible function has only recently been suggested. Two independent studies have found that 7SK RNA binds the CDK9/cyclin T complex (known as elongation factor P-TEFb). The record is from RNAcentral. Lineage: Eukaryota; Metazoa; Chordata; Mammalia; Rodentia; Dipodidae.
CAGUAUGAAGACAAACUGGCUGCAUUAUCAGUCUCCCCAUUAUUUGCCUGGGUUUAUUUCACUCCUCUGAUUUGCUAGGCUUGUUUCUUGUUCUUAUCUCACUGCUUUAUGUGCAUCCUUCCUGAACAGUGCUCUGUGGAAGAGAAUGACCUUUUGAAAUAGAGAAAGCCAUUCCUCAUUUAAGGGCAAACUCUCAGCUGCACUUCCUUGCUAGAAUCUCCAAACUCUUAAUGUGCAUGAAGAGCCACAUUUUUAAAAAAUUUAAAUGUUU